RNAcentral lists this microRNA precursor (72 nucleotides) under Marmota monax (woodchuck). Lineage: Eukaryota; Metazoa; Chordata; Mammalia; Rodentia; Sciuridae. The record is from RNAcentral.
CGAUUGUGGGUAAUGUAGUCCAGUAUUGGUUACUGUAUUUACCAAUACUGGACUACAUUACCCACAAUCUAU